Molecule: ribosomal RNA, 465 nt
Filed under: uncultured bacterium
Lineage: Bacteria
Description: partial 16S ribosomal RNA
Rfam family: Bacterial small subunit ribosomal RNA
Source: RNAcentral
GACGAACGCUGGCGGCGUGCUUAACACAUGCAAGUCGAACGGAAAGGCCCCUUUGGUGGUCCUCGAGUGGCGAACGCGUGCGUAACACGUGAGUAACCUUCCCUUGACUUCGGGAUAACUUCAGGAAACUGGGGCUAAUACCGGUACGGAAUCCUUGCUGCAUGGUGGGGGUUGGAAAGCUUCGGCGGGUUUUGAUGGACUGGCGGGUUAUCAGCUUGUUGGUGGGGUAGUGGCUUACCAAGGCGUUGACGGGUAGCCGGCCUGAGAGGGCGACCGGCGACAUUGGGACUGAGGUGCGGCCCAGACUCCGACGGGAGGCAGCAGUGGGGAAUAUUGCACAAUGGGCGGAAGCCUGAUGCAGCAACGCCGCGGGCGGGAUGACGGCCUUCGGGUUGUAAACCGCUUUCAGCAGGGGCGAAGCUUGUGGUGACGGUACCUGCAGAAGAAGCACCGGCUAACUACGUG